GUUGCUUGGGGUUUGACCUGUGGAAAUCUUUGUUAACAGGUACGGGGUUGGACUGGUCUGGUUGCGUGGAAGAAAAGCAGAUUGUCACCAGUAGGCAGCAGUUCUGUGAUGCACUGCGGUCAAUCCCUGACGUGCAGCAGAUGAGGAGGUGUAUGCUGACCCGGAAGGAUGAUUCCAACAGCAGUCAAGAAGAGAAGAGGAGAAUGUGCAAGGAGCAGUAGAGCUUACCUGAGCCCAGCCCAGCCCACUGCAUCUCAGCCCAGCCCAGCAGAGGAUCCAGUGGUCUAACACCUCUAACUAACCACUUUAACAAACUUCCAACAAAUAACUCUUAGAAACUUCCAACAAAUAACCCUAACAAACUUCCAACAAGUAACUUUAACAAACUUCCAUUAAAUAACUGUAACAAACUUCCAACAAAUAACUCUAACAAACUUCCAACAAAUAACUAACAAACUUCCAACAAAUCAUCCUAACAAACUUCCAACAAAUCAUCGUAACCAACCAGUAACAAAUCAUCCUAACAAACUAAAACUACUAACAGUCUGCUAAAUGUUGUGUGACGCGUCUAGUGUGUUGGUGUUAGUGUCUGUGUGCUUGUCACCUCUCGCUUUCAGCCAUCACCGCUGGCUAGCAGUAAUGCGAAAAGGGAAGGAAUUUUUAUGUCUUCCCCUGCCAGUACAUAGCCUCUCCACAACAAGUCCUAUGCGAUGCCUCCACGUGGAAGCAGACGGAUACUGGGCAGAUUUUGGUCCCAGGCUAAGUUCGCAAGGGCGCACAGGAAGAUGAAUCUUGAUAGCCUCUACUGGUAUCUGUCUAGGAGAGAAAACUGAUCACAACCCCAAUUAAGUAGGGGACCCAAUUGAUAUAAGUGUUGGCUAUUUAUCCCUAUUGAAAUAGAAGUGAACCUUUGUCCAUUGUCUGUCGUCAUCUUCUUUGUUUUAAACUUUCACAUUUAUAUCUUUAGAACUACUGGGCCAAAGUCAGACAAACUUGACACAGAGUAUCUUUGCGUAAAUGGGAUUCAAGUUUAUAAAUGAAGGCCCAUGCCCUCUUCAAAGGGGGGGGGGGAUUAUUACAUAAGUGUAAAUUAAUGACAUCAUUUAAAAAAGAUCUAAAGAUUUAAAAAUCUUUUCAAGAACCACUGAGACGGUAAAUGUUACACUGAUGUGAAUUCAUCCUUACUUAGUAUAG
Long non-coding RNA from Saccostrea cuccullata (small rock oyster), 1194 nucleotides. RefSeq lists it as uncharacterized. NCBI's taxonomy places the organism in Eukaryota, Metazoa, Mollusca, Bivalvia, Ostreida, Ostreidae. The transcript has 3 exons. The record is from RefSeq and is a predicted model, not a curated record.